UAAAUCCGUCAAGUGAUUUGUCUGGCGC
RNAcentral lists this small RNA (28 nucleotides) under Bombyx mori (domestic silkworm). RNAcentral describes it as "ovarian small RNA-18465". Lineage: Eukaryota; Metazoa; Arthropoda; Insecta; Lepidoptera; Bombycidae. The record is from RNAcentral.